GACGAACGCUGGCGGCGUGCCUAAUACAUGCAAGUUGAGCGCUGAAGGUUGGUACUUGUACCAACUGGAUGAGCAGCGAACGGGUGAGUAACGCGUGGGGAAUCUGCCUUUGAGCGGGGGACAACAUUUGGAAACGAAUGCUAAUACCGCAUAAAAACUUUAAACACAAGUUUUAAGUUUGAAAUAUGCAAUUGCAUCACUCAAAGAUGAUCCCGCGUUGUAUUAGCUAGUUGGUGAGGUAAAGGCUCACCAAGGCGAUGAUACAUAGCCGACCUGAGAGGGUGAUCGGCCACAUUGGGACUGAGACACGGCCCAAACUGCUACGGGAGGCAGCAGUAGGGAAUCGUCGGCAAUGGACGAAAGUCUGACCGAGCAACGCCGCGUGAGUGUAGAAGGUUUUCGGAUCGUAAAACUCUGUUGGUAGAGAAGAACGUUGGUGAGAGUGGAAAGCUCAUCAAGUGACGGUAACUACUCAGAAAGGGACGGCUAACUACGUG
RNAcentral lists this ribosomal RNA (497 nucleotides) under uncultured bacterium. RNAcentral describes it as "partial 16S ribosomal RNA". It matches the Rfam family "Bacterial small subunit ribosomal RNA", at positions 28 to 507 of the family's 1533-position model. The record is from RNAcentral.